RNAcentral lists this ribosomal RNA (402 nucleotides) under uncultured prokaryote. Its description in RNAcentral is "bacterial SSU rRNA". It matches the Rfam family "Bacterial small subunit ribosomal RNA", at positions 355 to 774 of the family's 1533-position model. The record is from RNAcentral.
UAGGGAAUAUUAGAAAUGGACGAAAGUCUGAUCUAGCAACACCGCGUGUGCGAAGAAGGCCUUCGGGUCGUAAAGCACUUUUUGGAAGGAAUAGGAAGGAAUGUACUUCCAGAAUAAGUCUCGGCUAACUACGUGCCAGCAGCCGCGGUAACACGUAGGAGGCAAACGUUAUCCGGAUUUACUGGGCGUAAAGCGCGUGUAGGUGGUACUGUAAGUAGGGCGUGAAAGCUCCUGGCUCAACUGGGAGAGGCCGUUCUAAACUACAGAACUAGAGGAUGGUAGAGGGAGGUGGAAUUCCAGGUGUAGCGGUGGGAUGCGCAGAUAUCUGGAGGAACACCGGUGGCGAAGGCGGCCUCCUGGACCAUGCCUGACACUCAGACGCGAAAGCGAGGGUGGCAAACG